UGUGUUAGUGGAAGCGUAUGGAAAGGCGCGCGAUACAGGGUGACAGCCCCGUACACAAAAGCGCAUGUGCUGUGAGCUCGAUGAGUAGGGCGGGACACGUGGUAUCCUGUCUGAAUAUGGGGGGACCAUCCUCCAAGGCUAAAUACUCCUGACUGACCGAUAGUGAACCAGUACCGUGAGGGAAAGGCGAAAAGAACCCCGGCGAGGGGAGUGAAACAGAACCUGAAACCGUGUACGUACAAGCAGUGGGAGCACAGGUUUACCUGUGUGACUGCGUACCUUUUGUAUAAUGGGUCAGCGACUUAUAUUCUGUAGCAAGGUUAACCGAAUAGGGGAGCCGGAGGGAAACCGAGUCUUAAUUGGGCGUUAAGUUGCAGGGUAUAGACCCGAAACCCGGUGAUCUAGCCAUGGGCAGGUUGAAGGUUGGGUAACACUAACUGGAGGACCGAACCGACUAAUGUUGAAAAAUUAGCGGAUGACCUGUGGCUGGGGGUGAAAGGCCAAUCAAACCGGGAGAUAGCUGGUUCUCCCCGAAAGCUAUUUAGGUAGCGCCUCGUGAAUUCAUCUCCGGGGGUAGAGCACUGUUUCGGCCAGGGGGUCAUCCCGACUUACCAACCCGAUGCAAACUGCGAAUACCGGAGAAUGUUAUCACGGGAGACACACGGCGGGUGCUAACGUCCGUCGUGAAGAGGGAAACAACCCAGACCGCCAGCUAAGGUCCCAAAGUCAUGGUUAAGUGGGAAACGAUGUGGGAAGGCCCAGACAGCCAGGAUGUUGGCUUAGAAGCAGCCAUCAUUUAAAGAAAGCGUAAUAGCUCACUGGUCGAGUCGGCCUGCGCGGAAGAUGUAACGGGGCUAAACCAUGCACCGAAGCUGCGGCAGCGACACUAAGUGUUGUUGGGUAGGGGAGCGUUCUGUAAGCCUGCGAAGGUGUGUCGUGAGGCAUGCUGGAGGUAUCAGAAGUGCGAAUGCUGACAUAAGUAACGAUAAUGCGGGUGAAAAACCCGCACGCCGGAAGACCAAGGGUUCCUGUCCAACGUUAAUCGGGGCAGGGUGAGUCGACCCCUAAGGCGAGGCCGAAAGGCGUAGUCGAUGGGAAACGGGUUAAUAUUCCCGUACCUGGUGUUACUGCGAAGGGGGGACGGAGAAGGCUAUGUUGGCCGGGCGACGGUUGUCCCGGUUUAAGCGUG
This 1189-nucleotide ribosomal RNA is filed under the name Salmonella enterica. Its description in RNAcentral is "partial 23S ribosomal RNA". It matches the Rfam family "Bacterial large subunit ribosomal RNA", at positions 325 to 1520 of the family's 2925-position model. Lineage: Bacteria; Pseudomonadati; Pseudomonadota; Gammaproteobacteria; Enterobacterales; Enterobacteriaceae. The record is from RNAcentral.